Molecule: unclassified non-coding RNA, 261 nt
Filed under: Bombus terrestris (buff-tailed bumblebee)
Lineage: Eukaryota; Metazoa; Arthropoda; Insecta; Hymenoptera; Apidae
Description: misc RNA ENSBTSG00005021384.1
Source: RNAcentral
CCUCGGGUAUAUAGAAUUCUUAGAAAACUACGCAACUCAGCAACUGUGAUUGUCCAGUCCUUUUUCAAAACUCGAUGCGCCUCGGUUUCAGUGCAAUCGUUUCCGUGUUCCAUUAUGUGUCUGUCAAUUAUUAAUUCGAAAGCACUAACAUAAUAAUAUUUCUCUUAGCAUAGCCAGUAGGCCCUGCAAUAUCCUUGAAUAUCAUACGAACGGGCGUCCUAUCCCUAGAUUCACCAGCUUUCAGUUUUAUGCACUAUGUCC